UGAAUACGAGACGCUACGGCGUCGAAGCAGUCUAUGUCAUACUUCCAAGAAAAGCUCGCAAUGUCAUAAACAAAUAAUGCCUGUACCAUAACCGACACAGGUGGGUAGGUAGAGUAUACUAAGGGGCGCGAGAUAACUCUCUCUAAGGAACUCGGCAAAAUGACUCCGUAACUUCGGGAGAAGGAGUGCCUUAUUUAUAAGGUUGCAAUAACAAGAUCCAAGCAACUGUUUAUCAAAAACACAGGUCUCCGCUAAGUCGUAAGACGAUGUAUGGGGGCUGACGCCUGCCCAGUGCCAGAAGGUUAAAGAAGUUGGUUAGCAUUCGCGAAGCUGAUAACUGAAGCCCUGGUGAACGGCGGCCGUAACGAUAACGGUCCUAAGGUAGCGAAAUUCCUUGUCGGGUAAGUUCCGACCCGCACGAAAGGCGUAAUGAUUUGGAUACUGUCUCGGAGAGGGGCUCGGUGAAAUAGACUUGUCUGUGAAGAUGCGGACUACCUGCACCUGGACAGAAAGACCCUAUGAAGCUUUACUGUAACUUGAAAUUGAAAUUGGACUUUAUUUGCGCAGCAUAGGUGGGAGGCGUUGAGAGUAUUCUUGCGGGAAUAUUGGAGCCAUCAGUGAGAUACCACUCUUGUAAUGUUAGAUUUCUAACUUUGUACCAUUAUCUGGUCAAAGAACAGUUUCAGGCGGGCAGUUUGACUGGGGCGGUCGCCUCCCAAACGGUAACGGAGGCGUACAAAGGUUUCCUCUGAACGGGUAGAAAUCGUAUCUAGAGUGUAAAGGCAUAAGGAAGCUUGACUGUGAGACCUACAAGUCGAGCAGGGACGAAAGUCGGUCUUAGUGAUCUGACGGUGCUGAGUGGAAAGGCCGUCACUCAACGGAUAAAAGUUACUCUAGGAUAACAGGCUGAUCUCCCCCAAGAGUUCACAUCGACGGGGAGGUUUGGCACCUCGAUGUCGGCUCAUCGCAUCCUGGGGCGGUAGUACGUCCCAAGGGUUGGGCUGUUCGCCCAUGAAAGCGGUACGCGAGCUGGGUUCAGAACGUCGUGAGACAGUUCGGUCCAUAUCCGGUGUAGGCGUUAGAAUAUUGAGAGGAGCCUUCUUUAGUACGAGAGGACCGAGAAGGACAUACCUCUGGUGUACCAGUUAUCGUGCCAACGGUAAACGCUGGGUAGCUAUGUAUGGAGAGGAUAACCGCUGAAAGCAUCUAAGUGGGAAGCCCACCUCAAGAUAAGUAUUCUCAU
This 1243-nucleotide ribosomal RNA is filed under the name metagenome. RNAcentral describes it as "bacterial LSU rRNA". It matches the Rfam family "Bacterial large subunit ribosomal RNA", at positions 1564 to 2817 of the family's 2925-position model. The record is from RNAcentral.